This 492-nucleotide non-coding RNA is filed under the name Pan troglodytes (chimpanzee). The record is from RNAcentral. Lineage: Eukaryota; Metazoa; Chordata; Mammalia; Primates; Hominidae.
CCUCGGACCACCUGCCCGGUCGAGCUGCCAUCACCUGCCAGGGUGAGCCACUGCGCCUGAUCAAGGCAUCACCGUUGAACCUCCUAAGAGGAAAACAUAAGGCUGUGCAAUACCAGGAACUGGGAUUCUAGGUUGCCCCAGACACCAAGGCAUCAAAAGCCAGGGGAUCCAGAGAAAACACAGACAGCCAAGAGAGAAACUGCGGGAAAAGCCAAAAGGUUGAGAGCCACACCAUCUAGAAGCUUCCUGCCUGCGGUGCGGCACAGAAACAAGGAGAGUCAGCAAUUACCAGCCAGCCGAGGUCCUGGAAGCUGACGUAGAGCUCGUGCCGACGGCAGACCUGCCGGCCGUGGGAGCCGUGGACGUCAUCUGCAGGGACAGAAGGGGCAAGGUCUUUUCUGGGGUUCCUGCUGUGUGCAGCUACUAUGGGGUACCAGGGUGGGGGAUGCCCUGAUGAGCACAUUUGUCAAAUAAAUGAAUGACAGGAAACCA